GGGGUUGUAGUUAAAUUAACAUUUGAUUUGCAUUCAAAAAAUACUAAUUAUUUAGUCUACCUUA
This 64-nucleotide transfer RNA is filed under the name Diptera sp. 59 LC-2017. Its description in RNAcentral is "tRNA-Ala". It matches the Rfam family "tRNA". From Rfam's summary of the family: Transfer RNA (tRNA) molecules are approximately 80 nucleotides in length. Their secondary structure includes four short double-helical elements and three loops (D, anti-codon, and T loops). The record is from RNAcentral. Lineage: Eukaryota; Metazoa; Arthropoda; Insecta; Diptera.